This 228-nucleotide ribosomal RNA is filed under the name uncultured bacterium. RNAcentral describes it as "partial 16S ribosomal RNA". It matches the Rfam family "Bacterial small subunit ribosomal RNA", at positions 15 to 236 of the family's 1533-position model. The record is from RNAcentral.
GAUCAUGGCUCAGGAUGAACGCUGGCGGCGUGCUUAACACAUGCAAGUCGAACGAGAGAAGAUUGGUGCUUGCACUGAUCCGAUCGAGUGGCGGACGGGUGAGUAACGCGUGGGUAACCUGCCUCAUACAGGGGAAUAACAGUUGGAAACGGCUGCUAAAACCGCAUAAGCGCACGGUAUCGCAUGAUACAGUGUAGAAAACUCCGGUGGUAUGAGAUGGACCCGCGU